GUCGUCAGCUCGUGCCGUGAGGUGUUGGUUAAGUCCGCACGAGCGCAACCCCUAUUCUCAGUUGCCAGCACAUAAGUGGUGGGCACUCUGUGGAGGAACUGCCCGGGUUAACCGGGAGGAAGGUGGGGGAUGACGUCAAGUCAUCAUGGCCCUUACGCCUAGGGCUACACACGUACUACAAUGGUGGGUACAAAGGGCAGCGAAACCGCGAGGUCGAGCGAAUCUCAAAAAAACCCAUCAUAGUCCGGAUUGCAGUCUGCAACUCGACUGCAUGAAGUUGGAAUCGCUAGUAAUCCCCGGAUCAGCAUGCCGGGGUGAAUACGUUCCCGGGCCUU
Molecule: ribosomal RNA, 335 nt
Filed under: uncultured Desulfomicrobium sp.
Lineage: Bacteria; Pseudomonadati; Thermodesulfobacteriota; Desulfovibrionia; Desulfovibrionales; Desulfomicrobiaceae
Description: bacterial SSU rRNA
Rfam family: Bacterial small subunit ribosomal RNA
Source: RNAcentral